GCAAGUCGAGCGCUACCUUCGGGUGGAGCGGCGGACGGGUGAGUAACGCGUAGGAAUCUACCCAGUAGUGGGGGACAACAUGGUGAAAACCAUGCUAAUACCGCAUACGCCCUAAGGGGGAUAGCGGGGGAUCUUCGGACCUCGCGCUAUCGGAUGAGCCUGCGUUGGAUUAGCUAGUUGGUGAGGUAAAGGCUCACCAAGGCGACGAUCCAUAGCUGGUCUGAGAGGAUGAUC
This 234-nucleotide ribosomal RNA is filed under the name uncultured bacterium. RNAcentral describes it as "partial 16S ribosomal RNA". It matches the Rfam family "Bacterial small subunit ribosomal RNA", at positions 57 to 305 of the family's 1533-position model. The record is from RNAcentral.